CUUGAACUGCAGAUGACAUCCUACGAAAGUAGGCUUCCGCAAGGUCGGUGUACAGGUGGUGCAUGGUUGUCGUCAGCUCGUGUCGUGAGAUGUUGGGUUAAGUCCCGCAACGAGCGCAACCCUCGUCCCAUGUUGCCAGCGGGUUAUGCCGGGGACUCAUGGGAGACUGCCGGGGUCAACUCGGAGGAAGGUGGGGAUGACGUCAAAUCAUCAUGCCCCUUAUGUCUUGGGCUUCACGCAUGCUACAAUGGCCGGUACAAAGGGCUGCGAUACCGCGAGGUGGAGCGAAUCCCAAAAAGCCGGUCUCAGUUCGGAUUGGGGUCUGCAACUCGACCCCAUGAAGUCGGAGUCGCUAGUAAUCGCAGAUCAGCAACGCUGCGGUGAAUACGUUCCCGGGCCU
This 400-nucleotide ribosomal RNA is filed under the name uncultured Cellulomonas sp. RNAcentral's name for it is "bacterial SSU rRNA". It matches the Rfam family "Bacterial small subunit ribosomal RNA", at positions 980 to 1381 of the family's 1533-position model. The record is from RNAcentral. Lineage: Bacteria; Bacillati; Actinomycetota; Actinomycetes; Micrococcales; Cellulomonadaceae.